RNAcentral lists this ribosomal RNA (800 nucleotides) under uncultured bacterium. RNAcentral's name for it is "bacterial SSU rRNA". It matches the Rfam family "Bacterial small subunit ribosomal RNA", at positions 8 to 822 of the family's 1533-position model. The record is from RNAcentral.
AGAGUUUGAUCCUGGCUCAGAAUCAACGCUGGCGGCGUGCCUCAGACAUGCAAGUCGAACGAUUAAAGCUCUCUUCGGAGAGUGUAUAGAGUGGCGCACGGGUGAGUAACACGUAAGUAAUCUACCUUUGAGUGGGGAAUAACGUCCGGAAACGGACGCUAAUACCGCAUAAUGCAGCGGCAUCGCAAGAUGACAGUUGUUAAAGAUUUAUCGCUUGAAGAGGAGCUUGCGGCAGAUUAGCUAGUUGGUAAGGUAAUGGCUUACCAAGGCUACGAUCUGUAACCGGUCUAAGAGGACGGUCGGUCACACUGACACUGAAUAACGGGUCAGACUCCUACGGGAGGCAGCAGUCGGGAAUUUUGGGCAAUGGGCGAAAGCCUGACCCAGCAACGCCGCGUGAAGGAUGAAGUGUUUCGGUAUGUAAACUUCGAAAGAAUGGGAAGAAUAAAUGACGGUACCAUUUAUAAGGUCCGGCUAACUACGUCCCAGCAGCCGCGGUAAUACGUAGGGACCAAGCGUUGUUCGGAUUUACUGGGCGUAAAGGGCGCGUAGGCGGCCCUACAAGUCACUUGUGAAAUCUCCGGGCUUAACUCGGAAUGGCCAAGUGAAACUGUAAGGCUAGAGUGCAGAAGGGGCAAUCGGAAUUCUUGGUGUAGCGGUGAAAUGCGUAGAUAUCAAGAGGAACACCUGAGGUGAAGACGGGUUGCUGGGCUGACACUGACGCUGAGGCGCGAAAGCCAGGGGAGCAAACGGGAUUAGAUACCCCGGUAGUCCUGGCCCUAAACGAUGAAUACUUGGUG